UUUGGGGGGGGUUCGAGGGGAUUAUGGUGGAUUUGAGGGGUUCUAGGGGUGGUAGACCAUCUCCAUGGGGUUUUUGAGGGUCUCUAGGGGUGGUGGGACGUGGUUAUGGGGGAUUUGGGGGGGAUCGGGGGGAUUAUGGGUUUUUUGAGGGUCUCUAGGGGUGGUAGAACAUCUCCAUAGGGUUUUUGGGGGGCUCUAGGGGUGGUGGGACGUGGUUAUGGGAUUUUUGAGGCGGUUUGAGGGGAUUAUGGGGUUUUUGAGGGUCUCUAGGGGUGGUAGACCAUCUUUAGGGUUUUUUUUGGGUUUUUUUUUGGGGUGUUGAGCCUGACCUGGCGGAUGUUCUGCCCCACGUACUCGAUGACCAUCUCGUCGGCGGCGAUGGGCUCCAUGGCGAAGAGGCCCCACUCGUGGAUGCGGCUGCGCCCGAACCGCAACCGCUUCUUCCGGAACUUUGGGGGGGGACACGAGGGUCACCGGGGGGGGGACAAACCCACCCCAGGUCCCCACGAAGACCCUCGUGGUGGAGCAGGACCUCAACGGUGUUGGGGACGCCCAAACGAAGAGCGUCGGCGACCCAACGUGGCAACGCAACGCGGCGUCAACCCAAGGUGUCACCAACCCAACCCAACGUGUCACCAACCCAACGUGUCACCAACCCAACGUGUCAUCAACCCAACGCGUCACCAACCCAACGCGUCACCAACCCAACGUGUCACCAACCCAACGUGUCAUCAACCCAACGUGUCAUCAACCCAACGCGUCACCAACCCAACGCGUCACCAACCCAACGNNNNNNNNNNCGUCACCAACUCAACGUGUCACCAACCCAACGCGGCGUUGACCCAAUGCAUCGUCACCCCAACGCAUCUCCAACCCAACGCGUCACCAACCCAACGCGUCAUCAUCCCAACCCAACGUGUCAUCAUCCCCACGUGUCAUCAACCCAACGCACUGCCCACCCAACGCGUGGUCAUCCCAAUGCGUCACCACCCAACAUGUCACCAACCCAACGCGUCGUUGACCCAACGUGCUGCCAACCCAACAUGCCGCCAACGCAACGCGUCGUCAUCCCAACACGUCACCAACCCAACACGCCGCCCACCCAACCCAACGCGUCAUCAUCCCAACGCGUCGUCAACCCAACGCAUUGUUGACCCAACAUGUCAUCAACCCAACGCGUCACCAACCCAACGUGUCACCAACCCAACCCAACGUGUCACCAACCCAACGCGCCGCCAUCCCAACGUGCGUGAAGACGUGUCGUCAACCCAACGCAUCAACCCAAUGCAUCGCCAACCCAACACGUCGCCCACCCAACCCAACGUGUCAUCAUCCCAACGCGCCACCCACCCAACGCAUCAACACAAUUCAUCGCCAACCCAACGUGCGUGAAGAUGCGUCACCAACCCAACGCAUCACCAACUCAACGCAUCACCAACCCAAUGCGUCAUCAUCCCAAUGCAUCGCCAACCCAAAGCGCGUGAAGACAUGGGGCCAACCCAAUGCAUCGCCCACCCAACGCGUUGUCAUCCCAACACGUCGCCCACCCAACCCAACACGUCAUCAUCCCAACGCGUCGCCAACCUAACGCAUCAUUGACCCAACGCGCUGCCCACCCAACCCAACGCAUCACCAACCCAACCCAACGUGUCAUCAACCCAACGCGUCGUCAACCCAACAUGUCGCCAACCCAACGCGUCGCCCACCCAACGUGUCGUUGACCCAAUGCGUCAUCAUCUCAACGCGCUGCCCACCCAACACGUCAUCAUCCCAACGUGUCGUCAACCCAACCCGUUGGCAUCCCAACACGUCAUCAACCCAACGCGCCGCCCACCCAACCCAACGCGUUGUCAACCCAACGCGUCACCCACCCAACACACGUGAAGACACGGUGCCAACCCAAUGCGUCGUCAACCCAACGCGUCACCAACCCAACACGCGUGAAGACGCGUUGUCAACCCAACGCAUCAACCCAACGCAUCGCCAACCCAACGCGUCGCCCACCCAACACGCGUGAAGACACGGGGCCAACCCAACGCGUCGCCAUCCC
This 2050-nucleotide long non-coding RNA is filed under the name Anas platyrhynchos platyrhynchos (common mallard). RNAcentral's name for it is "lncRNA (ENSAPLG00000019769.1)". Lineage: Eukaryota; Metazoa; Chordata; Aves; Anseriformes; Anatidae. The record is from RNAcentral.